Molecule: long non-coding RNA, 619 nt
Organism: Octopus sinensis (East Asian common octopus)
Lineage: Eukaryota; Metazoa; Mollusca; Cephalopoda; Octopoda; Octopodidae
Exons: 3
Source: RefSeq, a predicted model, not a curated record
UGUUUUAGGCCCCUAAACUGACAAGAAAACCUUUAACAUUUCCGAAAGCGAGACAGAAGGCCUAAGUGAAGUUUGACAGAUGCAACGUUUCGAGAGCAGCAAGUUGGCAGAGAACAGCGAGUAAAAGAAUUCCAAGAUUAAAGGAAAUUCCAGAAAAAUCGGCAUGUUGUAGGAAUUCCAGAACCCAGCAAAAUGAAGACGAAUGGUUCUGGAAUGACUGUUCCUGCUGCUGGUCUUGUUCUUUCUGUUGCUACUGUUGCUGGUAGUCCCUACAGUGAUGUUGGUGCUGACAGCGGUGUUGCUGCUGAUGGCGGGCGACAGUUGUCAAUGGAGUGUAGCAGAAGGAAUGUUAUCGUUUUGUUAGAGAAUGGCGCCAAUCGCGAUGGCGGAGAGCUGACUAUGAUGAUACGAUAGCAGUGGAGAAGCUGGAGGAUGGCAGUGCAAGAAAAAGUAGUAGUAGUAGCGAUGGAGGAAAUGGGAACUUAAUAGUAACAGUGCUAGUAGAGCUGGCGGUUCUGAUAUCUUAGAAGAGGUUGAUGACCGCUAAAGUAUCACAAGAGACUACUACUCAUAGUGCCGCCGAAAUAGUACCUAUAUAUAUAUAUAUGUAUGUACCUGU